Molecule: long non-coding RNA, 506 nt
Organism: Panicum virgatum (switchgrass)
Lineage: Eukaryota; Viridiplantae; Streptophyta; Magnoliopsida; Poales; Poaceae
Exons: 3
Source: RefSeq, a predicted model, not a curated record
GAUGAUUAGAUCCGUGGAUCUGUGGAUCUGCUAUUGUUUUGUUGCUGCUACCUUCCCAGAACUUGUUGCUCCAUACUUGUUUUGUUCUGUUGGACUAUUGCUGCUGAAUUCCGUUUUCAGUUUACGUAAUGGAUUAAUGGGUUAGUAACAAAGCUCUGGUUUUAUUGGAACCAGUCACGAAGAUGGAAGCACUCUUUGGUGGGAUGUUCGAAAGCCUGGGUCGCCUAUAUCUUCAGUGAAGUAUCAUUCAGAAUCAGGUCUCAUUUUGACCGCUCGCAGUGUUAGAUCCUAGCUGUUUAACUUCGAUUUUCCAAUAAUAGUAGCUGGAAAAGGCAUGAUCUAAUAAGGUGCUGGUGUGCAGCUUUAUCCCUUGCUAUCGAUGGGUCUUGCAAUGGUGGAAUCUCAGGAGGCGCUGAUGAUAAAUUUAUGCGCAUGAUUUUCAGCAAGCUCAGAAAUGCUACAAUGACUGCUCAGAGGUUCAAGCCUUCCUCAAUAGCCAUCAGAAC